This 2169-nucleotide unclassified non-coding RNA is filed under the name Hevea brasiliensis (rubber tree). The record is from RNAcentral. Lineage: Eukaryota; Viridiplantae; Streptophyta; Magnoliopsida; Malpighiales; Euphorbiaceae.
UCUUCCUCCUCUUCUUCUUCUUCUUCCUUCCCAUCCUUCUCUUUGAGGCUAUCAUCAGAAUAUGCAAACUGCUCCUUGUCUUUCCCCUUGAGUCGGUACUGCUCAAGACUUGCUUCAGCAUUUUCUGAAGGCCUGAAUCGACCAGUUGACGACCUUGAGGUUUGGACAUUAAGCUGCUUGACUGCAUAGGCUGCAAUUGAAGCAGCAACCAAGAAGCCUAACCUGACUAUCAUGUAGGUAUUGUUGAUAACAGAAUCUUAACUUUCCACUCAUCUAUUGAAACAAACAAAUUUGAAAAAACUUCUUCAGCCAUUUCUCCCCAACCCCAUAACUGACUAUUCAAGCCAUCAGUGCCCUAGAUAUGCACCAAGAGCUAUGAAGUCACAGAAUCUUCAACAGCAAAGGGAGCUUUCCAGGAAAUCCUGGUGAAAUUCUACAUAAAACACAGAUUAGUGAACUUUUAAGUAUGUAAAUUCAAUGGCCACAUCCAGCUAUUAAUAUUUUUCAGUAAAAUCUGCAUUAUCAUCUUAUCAUGUUUUCAGACCUUCCAAAGACGGACUUGCUACCCAACAAAGAGUUCCUGAUAAGAAGAAUUCCAACACACCUGUCAUGCUAAGAGCUACAGGAACCAUCAAUGAAACUAGUGGCCAGUUUUGCUUCAAAAGGAUGUUGACAAUUUGCAAAAUAAUGGUGGGUCUGACAUAUUACCAUUUUGUUUCAAUGUAAUGCCUAUAGUUAACGCAAACCAGAAAACAAGACUGAAAGAGACACUAGCAACAGUAAAUUUUUAAGCAAAGAACAUGCAUAUCAUGGUAUCAUGUUUAAGCCAUGUAUCACAUGCGUUAUCUGGUGUUCUUUGCCUCAUAAUUAAUUAGUUUUUUGUUCGAUUUUAGAGGUAGCUAAUUUUUAGGUGCCUUCCCAACUGAUACAAGUAAUGAUCACAGCUCAAACAGCAAACAAUUGAGAAACACAAACCACCUGAUCGACCUUACCAUUUUCUGGACAUUCAUAUUCAUUGAAGAGUGUUCACAAUACAAAUCUAUGACUAAAAGGGUUCAGAUUGUCCGAGUGGUUUAAUUCAAGAAAGAUAGUUCCACUUCAGAUAAUAUCUUCAUUCUUAGCCAACGGAUCAAUCUUAGCCUCUAUUAAGUAGUUUUCUUUAUUGGCUGAGGACCUAUUUAAGUAAACUUUAGAUUAGAAGGGUCCAGUACAAUGGCCAAAGACCUAUUAUUAAGGUGGGUUCAGCUUCUUUUUGGCUUUACAGUUACAACACAAUAAAGAAGGAAGGUACAUGGUAGUUUUAAAAGACAGAUGGAGGUAAGCCAAGGCUGAGAUUUUAAUUCUGGGCUGUCUGCUUAAUGGACUGGAGCAUUUGUAAGAUGUAAGCCAAGCAUAUACAAAGUAAGCUAAACUUUUUGGUAAUUGAUAGCCAAAAUUACAUGUUGGCCUUUUUGGCUUUUCUCCGGAAUUUAUCCUCAAUGACUAACUUUCGGGUUUAUUUAAUAAAAUUCAUGUGUUAAUGUCUUCUCUCUCUCUUGGAUUUGGAUUGCAGGAUAAAAGGGCAGCUUUAAUACAUGAUUAAGCAUGUACAGAAGCAUCUUUAUAUGACAUAUUUCCAAUCUCAAGAACAGUAUGUUAUCUUUGCUUUCUAAUCAUGACUAAGCAACAUGCACAAUAAUGUAAAAUCAAUGGUUAAAAUCCAACAAAAAUGAACCAACAUGAAUCAUGAACCCAGCAGAAGGGUGACCUGGCAAGGUCGGGGGAAGACAAAUUUGACAGAAGCCCUCACAACAUCCAAUGUUUGGCCGAGGAAUUUGUUGGUGCAAACUUUUCAAAAAGAUAAUUUACAGAAAAUAAAAGGAAUAUGAAAAAAACAAAAAGAAAAGAAAAUAUCCUUAUCUGGGUCGUAAAUUCAGUGGUCUCCACUACCCAAACUAGCAGCCAAAUUAUUAUCCUAAUUCUAAACCUAUCGAGUGGCCAAUGGCUCUCAUAAUUUAUAAUUCUUUUUACAGUCCUCUCUCUCUCUAUAUAUAAAAGUGUAUAAUUAUACUAAGUAUAUCUAAAUGAGUAUAAAUAAUAAAAUAAAAUACAAUGCGUAUAUUCUCAUUAAAAUUAGCAACAACACUUCCUACGAGCAAAUUGCUUUCCCAUCAGAGGAAAAAAAAAAAA